RNAcentral lists this small RNA (401 nucleotides) under Pan troglodytes (chimpanzee). RNAcentral's name for it is "retained intron". The record is from RNAcentral. Lineage: Eukaryota; Metazoa; Chordata; Mammalia; Primates; Hominidae.
GAGUAGCUGGACUUGAGACUCACAGCUGACCCUGAUCCCCAGACUGUGCCCAUUUCCAGUUGAGCAGCUUUGAUCUCCGGAGCCGCCUGUGCCGCUUCAUAGCUGAGGCUCCCCAAGAACUGGCCUUGCCCCCAGAGGAAGCUGAGAUGCUGAGCACCGAGGCCCUCCGUCUGUGGGCUGUGGCUGCCUCCUAUGGCCAGGGCGGUUACCUUUACAGGGAGCUCUACCCAGUGCUGAUGCGGGCCUUGCAGGUGGUGCCGCGGGAGCUCAGCACCCACCCACCUCAACCCCUGUCCAUGCAGCGGAUAGCCUCACUGCUCACUCUCCUCACCCAGCUAACCCUGGCAGCCGGCAGUACCCCUGCUGAAACCAUCAGUGAUUCUGCUGAGGCCAGCCUCUCG